Molecule: non-coding RNA, 77 nt
Organism: Potamilus streckersoni
Lineage: Eukaryota; Metazoa; Mollusca; Bivalvia; Unionida; Unionidae
Source: the annotation of a GenBank genome assembly
GACCGUUCUGGUGGCCUAGUGAUUAGAGCGUCCGCCUCGCAUGCGGGAAGUCGCGGGUUUGAACCCAGGCCGAGUCA